GGAAUCUUCCACAAUGGACGAAAGUCUGAUGGAGCAACGCCGCGUGAGUGAUGAAGGUUUUCGGAUCGUAAAACUCUGUUGUAAGGGAAGAACAAGUACGAGAGGUAAUGCUCGUACCUUGACGGUACCUUACGAGAAAGCCACGGCUAACUACGUGCCAGCAGCCGCGGUAAUACGUAGGUGGCAAGCGUUGUCCGGAAUUAUUGGGCGUAAAGCGCGCGCAGGCGGCCUUUUAAGUCUGAUGUGAAAGCCCCCGGCUCAACCGGGGAGGGUCAUUGGAAACUGGAAGGCUUGAGUACAGAAGAGAAGAGUGGAAUUCCAUGUGUAGCGGUGAAAUGCGUAGAGAUGUGGAGGAACACCAGUGGCGAAGGCGACUCUUUGGUCUGUAACUGACGCUGAGGCGCGAAAGCGUGGGGAGCAAACAGGAUUAGAUACCCUGG
Molecule: ribosomal RNA, 440 nt
Filed under: uncultured Exiguobacterium sp.
Lineage: Bacteria; Bacillati; Bacillota; Bacilli; Caryophanales
Description: bacterial SSU rRNA
Rfam family: Bacterial small subunit ribosomal RNA
Source: RNAcentral